RNAcentral lists this long non-coding RNA (256 nucleotides) under Elaeis guineensis (African oil palm). RNAcentral's name for it is "long non-coding RNA (EGUI_LNC081707)". Lineage: Eukaryota; Viridiplantae; Streptophyta; Magnoliopsida; Arecales; Arecaceae. The record is from RNAcentral.
GCAUGGCCGAGCUCGUCUCCUCCGUCCUAGCCUUCUUCACCGAUCUGGAGGUCGCGGCACCUUUUCUUUUGUGGGCCUUGAGACCCCUGAUGAGCAUCCGUACUGCUUCGGCAUCCAUCCCUAAAAAAAAAAAGAGAGAAGAGAAGGAGAGAAAAAAGAAGAAAGAUUAGUGACGGGGUAAAAAAGGAAGAAGUGGCACGCAAAAAAAAGGUUGGGAGGGGAAGGAGCCGAAUAACCAAGAAGCUUCCGGGCGGCC